UAGAAGCUCUCAUCCAUGGUUGACUGUCUC
RNAcentral lists this non-coding RNA (30 nucleotides) under Rattus norvegicus (Norway rat). Lineage: Eukaryota; Metazoa; Chordata; Mammalia; Rodentia; Muridae. The record is from RNAcentral.